Molecule: small nuclear RNA, 107 nt
Filed under: Sus scrofa (pig)
Lineage: Eukaryota; Metazoa; Chordata; Mammalia; Artiodactyla; Suidae
Also listed under: 1 other name
Source: RNAcentral
GUGCUCGCUUUGGCAGCACAUCUGCUAAAACUGGAAUGAUACAGAGAAGAUUAAUAUGGCUCCCAUGCAAGGAUGAUAUGCAAAUUUGUGAAGCAUUCCAUAUUUUU